Molecule: ribosomal RNA, 253 nt
Filed under: uncultured bacterium
Lineage: Bacteria
Description: partial 16S ribosomal RNA
Rfam family: Bacterial small subunit ribosomal RNA
Source: RNAcentral
GACAGAGGGUGCAAACGUUGUUCGGAAUUACUGGGCGUAAAGCGAGUGUAGGCGGUCCGAUAAGUCGGGUGUGAAAGCCCUGGGCUCAACCCAGGAAGUGCACUCGAAACUGCCGGGCUAGAGUAUCGGAGAGGUUGGUGGAAUUCUCGGUGUAGAGGUGAAAUUCGUAGAUAUCGAGAGGAACACCGGUGGCGAAGGCGGCUACCUGGACGGUGACUGACGCUGAGACGCGAAAGCGUGGGGAGCAAACAGG